This 468-nucleotide ribosomal RNA is filed under the name uncultured bacterium. Its description in RNAcentral is "partial 16S ribosomal RNA". It matches the Rfam family "Bacterial small subunit ribosomal RNA", at positions 28 to 507 of the family's 1533-position model. The record is from RNAcentral.
GACGAACGCUGGCGGCGUGCUUAACACAUGCAAGUCGAACGGAAAGGCCCUGCUUUUGUUGUGUGCUCGAGUGGCGAACGGGUGAGUAACACGUGAGUAACCUGCCCUUUACUUUGGGAUAACUUCAGGAAACUGUGGCUAAUACCGGAUAGGAGCUCCUGCUGCAUGGUGUGUGUUGGAAAGUUUCGGCGGUUGGGGAUGGACUCGCGGCUUAUCAGCUUGUUGGUGGGGUAGUGGCUUACCAAGGCUUUGACGGGUAGCCGGCCUGAGAGGGUGACCGGCCACAGUGGGACUGAGAUACGGGCAAGACUCAUACGGGAGGCAGAAGUGGGGAAUAUUGCACAAUGGGCGGAAGCAGGAUGCAGCAACGCCGCGUGCGGGAUGACGGCCGUAGGGUUGUAAACCGCUUUCGCCUGUGACGAAGCGUGAGUGACGGUAAUGGGUAAAGAAGCACCGGCUAACUACGUG